UACCUCUGAUUUGCGGAAGAGGCUGAAAAACUCGCAGAUUGUGUGUUGUCAUCAGCUUUGUCUCUUGGUCCUAUGAGAUGGGAGUUAAAUAACGACACCAGAUUC
This is a non-coding RNA of Triticum urartu, 105 nucleotides long. The record is from Rfam. NCBI's taxonomy places the organism in Eukaryota, Viridiplantae, Streptophyta, Magnoliopsida, Poales, Poaceae.